UGUCCAGGGAUGGGAAUCGAACCCACAGUGUUCAGCUUACCGGGCAGAUGCCAUGUCCCAUUCCCAUCCCUGGAC
Molecule: non-coding RNA, 75 nt
Organism: Cordylochernes scorpioides
Lineage: Eukaryota; Metazoa; Arthropoda; Arachnida; Pseudoscorpiones; Chernetidae
Source: the annotation of a GenBank genome assembly